AGACCUAUCCCAAGCCCA
This 18-nucleotide non-coding RNA is filed under the name Mus musculus (house mouse). The record is from RNAcentral. Lineage: Eukaryota; Metazoa; Chordata; Mammalia; Rodentia; Muridae.